GACGAACGCUGGCGGCGUGCUUAACACAUGCAAGUCGAACGGAAAGGCCUGCUUUCCCCUGUGGAUUGCGGGUACUCGAGUGGCGAACGGGUGAGUAACACGUGAGUGAUCUGCCCCCAACUUGGGUAUAAGCCUGGGAAACUGGGUCUAAUUCCCGAUAGGACUGCAGGGUGGUGCCUGUGGUGGAAAACGAUUUUCUAGUGGUUGGGGAUGAGCUCGCGGCCUAUCAGCUUGUUGGUGGGGUAAUGGCCUACCAAGGCGGCGACGGGUAGCCGGCCUGAGAGGGUGGACGGCCACAUUGGGACUGGGCUACGGCCCAGACUCCUACGGGAGGCAGCAGUGGGGAAUAUUGCACAAUGGGCGGAAGCCUGAUGCAGCGACGCCGCGUGGGGGACGACGGCCUUCGGGUUGUAAACUCCUUUCGACCGCGAGGAAGCCACCUGGUUGGAAGGGUGGUGACGGUAGUGGUAGAAGAAGCACCGGCUAACUACGUGC
RNAcentral lists this ribosomal RNA (495 nucleotides) under uncultured bacterium. RNAcentral's name for it is "partial 16S ribosomal RNA". It matches the Rfam family "Bacterial small subunit ribosomal RNA", at positions 28 to 508 of the family's 1533-position model. The record is from RNAcentral.